CCUACGGGAGGCAGCAGUGAGGAAUAUUGGUCAAUGGGCGCGAGCCUGAACCAGCCAAGUAGCGUGAAGGAUGACUGCCCUACGGGUUGUAAACUUCUUUUAUAAAGGAAUAAAGUGAGGCACGUGUGCCUUUUUGUAUGUACUUUAUGAAUAAGGAUCGGCUAACUCCGUGCCAGCAGCCGCGGUAAUACGGAGGUUCCGAGCGUUAUCCGGAUUUAUUGGGUUGAAAGGGGGAGUAGAUGGGUUGUAAAGUCAGGUGUGGAAGUUUGCGGCUCAACCGUAAAAUUGCAUUUGAUACUGGCAGGCUUGAGUACAGUUGGGGUAGGCGGAAUUCGUGGUGUAGCGGUGAAAUGCGUAGAUAUCACGAAGAACUCCGAUUGCGAAGGCAGCUUACUAAACUGCCACUGACAUUGAUGCUCGAAAGUGUGGGUAUCAAACAGGAUUAGAUACCCGAGUAGUC
Molecule: ribosomal RNA, 460 nt
Filed under: uncultured bacterium
Lineage: Bacteria
Description: partial 16S ribosomal RNA
Rfam family: Bacterial small subunit ribosomal RNA
Source: RNAcentral